Molecule: ribosomal RNA, 650 nt
Filed under: uncultured bacterium
Lineage: Bacteria
Description: bacterial SSU rRNA
Rfam family: Bacterial small subunit ribosomal RNA
Source: RNAcentral
UGCAGUCGACGGUAACAGGUCUUCGGAUGCUGACGAGUGGCGAACGGGUGAGUAAUACAUCGGAACGUGCCCGAUCGUGGGGGAUAACGCAGCGAAAGCUGUGCUAAUACCGCAUACGAUCUACGGAUGAAAGCAGGGGACCGCAAGGCCUUGCGCGGACGGAGCGGCCGAUGGCAGAUUAGGUAGUUGGUGGGAUAAAAGCUUACCAAGCCGACGAUCUGUAGCUGGUCUGAGAGGACGACCAGCCACACUGGGACUGAGACACGGCCCAGACUCCUACGGGAGGCAGCAGUGGGGAAUUUUGGACAAUGGGCGAAAGCCUGAUCCAGCCAUGCCGCGUGCAGGAUGAAGGCCUUCGGGUUGUAAACUGCUUUUGUACGGAACGAAAAGGUUCUUUCUAAUAAAGAGGGCCCAUGACGGUACCGUAAGAAUAAGCACCGGCUAACUACGUGCCAGCAGCCGCGGUAAUACGUAGGGUGCAAGCGUUAAUCGGAAUUACUGGGCGUAAAGCGUGCGCAGGCGGUUAUAUAAGACAGAUGUGAAAUCCCCGGGCUCAACCUGGGAACUGCAUUAGUGACUGUAUAGCUAGAGUGCGGCAGAGGGGGAUGGAAUUCCGCGUGUAGCAGUGAAAUGCGUAGAUAUGCGGAGGA